RNAcentral lists this transfer RNA (87 nucleotides) under Candidatus Parcubacteria bacterium. Its description in RNAcentral is "tRNA-Ser". It matches the Rfam family "tRNA". Rfam says of the family: Transfer RNA (tRNA) molecules are approximately 80 nucleotides in length. Their secondary structure includes four short double-helical elements and three loops (D, anti-codon, and T loops). Lineage: Bacteria; Candidatus Parcubacteria. The record is from RNAcentral.
GGAGCCGUGGGAGAGCGGUCUAAUCUACAUCUUUGCUAAAGAUGCAGGGGUUAAACCCCCUCGCGAGUUCGAAUCUCGCCGGCUCCG